This 803-nucleotide ribosomal RNA is filed under the name uncultured bacterium. RNAcentral describes it as "bacterial SSU rRNA". It matches the Rfam family "Bacterial small subunit ribosomal RNA", at positions 8 to 810 of the family's 1533-position model. The record is from RNAcentral.
AGAGUUUGAUCCUGGCUCAGGAUGAACGCUAGCGGCAGGCCUAACACAUGCAAGUCGAGGGGUAGAGUUAGCUUGCUAACUUGAGACCGGCGCACGGGUGCGUAACGCGUAUGCAAUCUACCUUAUACUAAGAGAUAGCCCAGAGAAAUUUGGAUUAAUACCUUAUAGUAUAUUUGAAUGGCAUCAUUUAGAUAUUAAAGAUUUAUCGGUAUAAGAUGAGCAUGCGUCCCAUUAGUUAGUUGGUGUGGUUACGGCACACCAAGACGAUGAUGGGUAGGGGUCCUGAGAGGGAGAUCCCCCACACUGGUACUGAGACACGGACCAGACUCCUACGGGAGGCAGCAGUGAGGAAUAUUGGUCAAUGGAGGCAACUCUGAACCAGCCAUGCCGCGUGCAGGAUGACGGUCCUAUGGAUUGUAAACUGCUUUUGUACGGGAAGAAAACCUGCUACGUGUAGCACAUUGACGGUACCGUAAGAAUAAGGAUCGGCUAACUCCGUGCCAGCAGCCGCGGUAAUACGGAGGAUCCAAGCGUUAUCCGGAAUCAUUGGGUUUAAAGGGUUCGUAGGCGGUAGAGUAAGUCAGCGGUGAAAGUUUGCAGCUUAACUGUAAAAUUGCCAUUGAUACUGCUUUACUUGAAUUACUUAGAAGUUACUAGAAUAUGUAGUGUAGCGGUGAAAUGCUUAGAUAUUACAUGGAAUACCAAUUGCGAAGGCAGUUAACUAUGAGUUAAUUGACGCUGAUGGACGAAAGCGUGGGUAGCGAACAGGAUUAGAUACCCUGGUAGUCCACGCCGUAAACGAU